GUACUUGCUUCGCAGUACAUAUACAAAAAUUUGGGAACGAUACAGAAAAGAUUAGCAGGGCCCCUCCCAAAGGAUGACACGCAAAUCUAAAGCGUUCCACAUUUUAUU
Non-coding RNA from Cherax quadricarinatus, 108 nucleotides. The record is from RefSeq and is a predicted model, not a curated record. NCBI's taxonomy places the organism in Eukaryota, Metazoa, Arthropoda, Malacostraca, Decapoda, Parastacidae.